This is a long non-coding RNA of Corvus hawaiiensis (hawaiian crow), 3337 nucleotides long. RefSeq lists it as uncharacterized. The transcript is spliced from 3 exons. The record is from RefSeq and is a predicted model, not a curated record. Lineage: Eukaryota; Metazoa; Chordata; Aves; Passeriformes; Corvidae.
UGAAAAGUGAUGUAUUUUUUACAGCUGGCAUCUUGGCUUGGACUAAAAGUCUUCCUUUUCCUGUUUUGUUCAGGGCUCUCAGAUCUGCUUUUUCUCAGUAUCUGGCGCUCUGAUUGCCACACAUUCUUUCGUAGCUGAAGAUCAGGAGCAGCGACGAGGGAGGCCGGGAACAGAGAACCGAGCAUCCUUUUGUGCCCCUAGGUCCAGCGGUAACGCUUUUUGGCCACCCCAACCGUGCGCCGUGCCGACCGGCGGGCGCACACUGCCGCCUCAGCGGAGAGCGAAGCCGCCGUCCCUCGCUCCGUGCCGGGGAGCAGCCGCCCGGCCCCGCCGCCGCGCCCCGCCCGGGUGUGGAGCGCACGGGCGCAGCUCAGCCGUGAGGGCGGGAGUGGGAGCGGGUCUCGCCGUGCGCUGCGGUGGUUCUGUCCGUGCCUCGGCCGCUUCCGCCCUGCGGUGCGGUUUCUUCCCCGGCUGGCGGCAGUAUGCCUGGGCCCCGACCAAUGUCUGUUAGAUGCCACAUAAAGAAGAUGAAGGAGCCUGUCCACAAAAAAGACUUGUUAGCCAGUGAAGGGAUGCUGCCUGGAGCAGAGAUGAGGUCAGGAAAGCCAAGACACAGCUGGAGUGUAAUUUGGCAAAGGAUUCAAAGAAUAAUGGUAAGGGUUUCUACAAGUGUGUUGAACAGAAAAGGAAAAUUAAAGAAAAUGCACACAUCACACCCUCCAUGCUCUCCUGGUAAGGAAGACAGGAAAAGUAAAGGCAACUGUCAUGGAGAAGGCUGAGAUACUCAGCAAUUUUUUCACUUCAGUUUUCAAUGGUAGUCUCUCUUCCUGCAUCUCUCAAGCCCCUACACCUCAAGACAGGGAGGUGCAGGGGAAUACGUAAUAGUAGCCGUCGAAAACAAAGAUCAGGUUUGGGACCACGCGAGGAACGUGAACAUGCAGCAGUCCAUGGGAUGCAAUCAGUUGCAUUCUUUGGUCCUGGGGGAAUUGGCUGAUGUAGUUGCCAGGCCAUUCUCAAUGAUACUUGAAAAGUCUUGGCACUCGGGCAAAAUCCCCAGUGACCGAAAAAAAGGAAACGUUACACACAUUUUUAAAAAGGGUAAAAACAAGGACCUUGGGAUCUGCUCCCUGGUCAGCCUCACCUUCGUGCCUGCUAAGAUCAUGGAGCAGAUCCCCCUGGAAGACAAGUGAAAACAUUUGGGAGACAGAGAAGCAGUUAAAGAUGGCCAAACAUGACUUCACCAAGGGCAAAUUGUGCAUGACUAAUCUAGUAGCCUUCUAUGGUGGAGUAGCUGCAUUAGCAAACCGAGGAAAAGCUGUGGAUGAUUGUUGGUGCCACAUUGGAGAGAUACGGGUUUGAUGAAUGGACUGUUAGCAGCCUGAUCUAGUGAAAGAUGUCCCUGCCAUAGCAGGUCCCUUCCAACUUUAACCAUUCUACCAUUCUGUGAUUUACUAUUACUGCAGACUUACACCCUGACAUCAAGACUGGCGCACUCUAUUUCCUAGGUGGUAAAAUAGUAAUAACAUGAGAACUCGUGUUCUGGAAAUGGGCUUUACAAUCACUGAGUACCUGAUCCAUCCCUGAUGCUGGUCAGUUCAAGCCUUGUGCAGAGUAUUAUUUCUGGUUGUAUGCUCUUUGUGUUCUUAUGAAAGUGCUUCCUAAAUGUAUUAGAAAUGCUUCUGGUAAGUGCUGUAGUUUCCUAAUUUUUUCCACAGUUUCCUUGCCGGUGUUACAUGUCAUAGCAAGGAAAGGCAGCUUCCUUACAUAUAGGUAGUACUGUGAGGCAAGGAAGAUACAUCCCUUUUGGCCAUCCAGUCUAAUUCAGAGAGUUUUACUUUUUUUUUUGUCUAAAAAUUGUGCCUCAGAGCCAUGCACAGAACAUUAUCUGAUUUCCCAUUCUUUUAACAAGAUUAUCUAUGUCUUUCAGUUCUGUCUUUUCUUCGAUGGGUGUACAGGACAGGACAGGACUGAUUAUUUUUCUUGUUUUAGUACCGAAUAGGCAUAUAGCCCCAAAGGUAACUAGAUGUCUUAUUUUCUUUGGUGUUAAUACGAAUUAAUACCUAAGCACCUUUGUGACUUGCUGAAAACAUCUGUGGUCUCUGUGCAAAUUCAGUUUGUCCUAAUCUUGCAGUGCGCUUGGCAGCUGUAUAUAAUUUCUACCUUUUAAAACCCAUCUAUAAUAUGCUUGCAGGAGUUUCUGGGGAGGUCUUAACUAGUAGAAUGUGAAAAAGAAAUCUUGGACUACAUCCAGUGGAAGUACCAAAAAUCAAAGGAUUGGAGUAAAUAAUUGCUUGUCUAGGUUCAUUACCUAAUGGCACAUUUUCGUAGCUGUUUAUGCACGGGCAUACUUGAGAUCCUUUGUGCUGUUAACUUAGAAUUUUAUUUGGUACAGCUAAGCAUAGAUUUGCUAGAGCACAACUGUGUACUUUGAAAUUGUUUUUACUGACUGCAGUAAUUUUUUUACGGGUAACGUUUCAGCUUCAAUCAAAGAAGUGUCCUGUGUGUCAGGAAGGUUAUCAUAGCAUUAUCCUGAAUCCAUGUCAACAUCACGUACUUUGAGAUUACUGUGCAGCUGCACAAGAAGAAUGUCCCUGCUGCAAGAAGAAAAAAAAAUUCUGGUUAGGGUUAGAAUUGUUGUUCCAACUGUGGUUGGAACUGAUCUAACGCUAUGUUUACUUGGAUGCUUGAAAAACCCUGAUGAAUGUAAAAUCACUUGUUAAUUAUUGUGUUUUGUUGGAAGAUAUGUCAUAAAAUGCUUCAAGUUGCUUUCUAGUCUCGUGGGGUUUUUUUAAUAUGCAAUAAUGUGAUGUAUUACUUGUGUACUGUGAAUUUAAGAUACUUCACACGGCUUUACUGUUAGAUCACAGCGUGGUUAAAUGGAAAUGACAUCUAGGUGGGUUUUUUUUUUUUUACAAUUUAUAAGUUAACUGCAUACUGUCGUAUUUAUAAAUGUACCAGGGAAACAAAACCAGUGGGACACAUAUGCUUUCAUAUUCAAAUACAUGCUCAUGUUUUCAAUUUUGUGAAAUGGAACAGUUUUAGUAAACAGCUGUAUAUUUGCAUAUUUCCCUCCACCUGGAUGCUUGUAGUCUUUUGUACAUCUAUGAAGCUGUGUGGUACUCAUAAGGAGUAGACAUGGUGUACAUGUAAUAUUACCAAGUGCCUAUGUCCAAUGUCCUAUAAAAGGACAGAAGACAUGAAAAAAAGAUUUGGCAAAUAAUUUUUAUUAUUUCCUUUUGUAUUUUGAAGAGUUUGACAGUAAUUAGAAUGUGUUUCCUGCUUUUUUAAAUAUUAAAAAAUACACUUUUUUCAAUAAUAAAUGCCCAUUUGAAAGGAA